This 253-nucleotide ribosomal RNA is filed under the name uncultured bacterium. Its description in RNAcentral is "partial 16S ribosomal RNA". It matches the Rfam family "Bacterial small subunit ribosomal RNA", at positions 524 to 776 of the family's 1533-position model. The record is from RNAcentral.
UACAGGGGGUGCAAACGUUGCUCGGAAUCAUUGGGCGUAAAGCGCACGUAGGCGGUUCGUUAUGUCGGAUGUGAAAGCCCUUGGCUUAACCGAGGAAGUGCAUCCGAAACUGGCGAGCUAGAGUACGAAAGAGGAUCGCGGAAUUCCCGGUGUAGAGGUGAAAUUCGUAGAUAUCGGGAGGAACACCGGUGGCGAAGGCGGCGAUCUGGGUCGAUACUGACGCUGAGGUGCAAAAGCGUGGGGAGCAAACAGG